AUUUCUGAAAAGAAUAAGCAAAGUCGGAGUUCAGUCCAUUGGAAAAAUUUGGCUGGCAUUCCUCCCCAACCUAGCAACAAGGAGUGCGGGUACUUUAUCAUGCGAUACAUGAGAGAUAUCAUUGAGGAUAAAGACAUGUCAUUGUUUCCUUCCAAGUGGGAGAGGAGAGGCAGUAGCCAAUACACCCAGGCAGAUAUUGAUCAAGUGCGAAAUGAGUGGGGGAAGUUUGUUGUCAACACAUAUGUGCACGAGUCAUGAAGUAGCACACUUGUUGCUGGUACAUUUUAGAUAAGGAAAGCAUCUUUUUUGUGCUUCUCUGCUGGUACAUUGUCAUGCACCAUGUGUGGCAU
Molecule: long non-coding RNA, 350 nt
Organism: Rosa chinensis
Lineage: Eukaryota; Viridiplantae; Streptophyta; Magnoliopsida; Rosales; Rosaceae
Exons: 3
Source: RefSeq, a predicted model, not a curated record